GGGACAUUAGCUCAGUCGGUAGAGCACUUGACUUUUAAUCAAGGUGUCGGGGGUUCAAAUCCCCCAUGUCUCA
RNAcentral lists this transfer RNA (73 nucleotides) under Lachnospiraceae bacterium. RNAcentral describes it as "tRNA-Lys". It matches the Rfam family "tRNA". Rfam says of the family: Transfer RNA (tRNA) molecules are approximately 80 nucleotides in length. Their secondary structure includes four short double-helical elements and three loops (D, anti-codon, and T loops). The record is from RNAcentral. Lineage: Bacteria; Bacillati; Bacillota; Clostridia; Lachnospirales; Lachnospiraceae.